Molecule: transfer RNA, 73 nt
Filed under: Pseudochromis fuscus (brown dottyback)
Lineage: Eukaryota; Metazoa; Chordata; Actinopteri; Pseudochromidae
Description: tRNA-Val
Rfam family: tRNA
About the family: Transfer RNA (tRNA) molecules are approximately 80 nucleotides in length. Their secondary structure includes four short double-helical elements and three loops (D, anti-codon, and T loops).
Source: RNAcentral
CAGUGGUUAGCUUAACACAGUAAAGCAUCUCUUUUACAAAGAGAAGUUCCCCGUGCAAACCGGGACCCUCUGA